RNAcentral lists this ribosomal RNA (497 nucleotides) under uncultured bacterium. RNAcentral describes it as "partial 16S ribosomal RNA". It matches the Rfam family "Bacterial small subunit ribosomal RNA", at positions 28 to 507 of the family's 1533-position model. The record is from RNAcentral.
GAGGAAAGCUGGCGGCGUGCCUAAUACAUGCAAGUCGAGCGAACAGACGAGGAGCUUGCUCCUCUGACGUUAGCGGCGGACGGGUGAGUAACACGUGGAUAACCUACCUAUAAGACUGGGAUAACUUCGGGAAACCGGAGCUAAUACCGGAUAAUAUAUUGAACCGCAUGGUUCAAUAGUGAAAGACGGUUUUGCUGUCACUUAUAGAUGGAUCCGCGCCGCAUUAGCUAGUUGGUAAGGUAACGGCUUACCAAGGCGACGAUGCGUAGCCGACCUGAGAGGGUGAUCGGCCACACUGGAACUGAGACACGGUCCAGACUCCUACGGGAGGCAGCAGUAGGGAAUCUUCCGCAAUGGGCGAAAGCCUGACGGAGCAACGCCGAGUGAGUGAUGAAGGUCUUCGGAUCGUAAAACUCUGUUAUUAGGGAAGAACAAAUGUGUAAGUAACUAUGCACGUCUUGACGGUACCUAAUCAGAAAGCCACGGCUAACUACGUG